This 75-nucleotide transfer RNA is filed under the name Nitrososphaeria archaeon. RNAcentral describes it as "tRNA-Arg". It matches the Rfam family "tRNA". From Rfam's summary of the family: Transfer RNA (tRNA) molecules are approximately 80 nucleotides in length. Their secondary structure includes four short double-helical elements and three loops (D, anti-codon, and T loops). Further hydrogen bonds mediate the characteristic L-shaped molecular structure. tRNAs have two regions of fundamental functional importance: the anti-codon, which is responsible for specific mRNA codon recognition, and the 3' end, to which the tRNAs corresponding amino acid is attached (by aminoacyl-tRNA synthetases). tRNAs cope with the degeneracy of the genetic code in two manners: having more than one tRNA (with a specific anti-codon) for a particular amino acid; and 'wobble' base-pairing, i.e. permitting non-standard base-pairing at the 3rd anti-codon position. Lineage: Archaea; Thermoproteati; Nitrososphaerota; Nitrososphaeria. The record is from RNAcentral.
GGGCCCGUGGCCCAGUACGGAUAAGGCAUUGGCCUUCGGAGCCAAGGAUCGUGGGUUCAAAUCCCACCGGGCCCG